RNAcentral lists this long non-coding RNA (513 nucleotides) under Homo sapiens (human). RNAcentral's name for it is "HSALNT0197641". The record is from RNAcentral. Lineage: Eukaryota; Metazoa; Chordata; Mammalia; Primates; Hominidae.
CUUCCGGAAGUCUGUGUCCUAGAAGUUAUCCCCGCACAAGCCACAGGAUUGCUGAGGCAGUGAAUUGAAGAGGCUGCGUAGUGCUUGCAACCAGUUACCAUAUUUCCCUGGAGGAAUCACCAGCAACCGACUCUCCCAGGACUUACGAGGUGCUUCCCUUAUCACCAGCCGUCUCAGCACAAGUAGUGGAUGAGAAUGACCAAGUUACUGGUCAUGUGGAUGAGCACAACCUACUCACUUUAGAAGAGUUUCCUUCUGGGCCGGAUGGGCAGGGUGGCUGACGCCUGUAAUCCCAGCACUUUGGGAGGUUGAGGCAGGAGGAUUGCUUGAGUCCAGGAGUUCAAAACCAGCCUGGGCAGCAUAGUGAGACCCCAUCUAUACUAAAGAUAAAAUUAGCCAACUGUGGUGGUGCUCACCUGUAAUCCAAGCUAUUUGGGAGGCUGAGGCAGGAGGGUCACUCGAGCCCAGGAGUUCGAGGCUGCAGUGAGCUGUGGUGACACCACCACACUCUAG